Molecule: ribosomal RNA, 1103 nt
Filed under: Orthostichopsis tetragona
Lineage: Eukaryota; Viridiplantae; Streptophyta; Bryopsida; Hypnales; Pterobryaceae
Description: eukaryotic LSU rRNA
Rfam family: Eukaryotic large subunit ribosomal RNA
Source: RNAcentral
UAAGCGGAGGAGAAGAAACUAACCAGGAUUUCCUUAGUAACGGCGAGCGAACCGGAAAGAGCCCAGCUUGAAAAUCGUGGUGCGUGGGCACCUCGACUUGUAGUCUGGAGAAGGUCCCUCUGCGACGCGCCGGGCCCAAGUUCCCUGGAAAGGGACGUCAUCGAGGGUGACAACCCCGUCCGCGCCCGGACUGCGUCGCUCCACGAGGACCUGUCGGCGAGUCGGGCUGUUUGGGAAUGCAGCCCUAAUCGGGUGGUAAAUUCCAUCCAAGGCUAAAUAUGGGCAAGAGACCGAUAGCGAACAAGUACCGCGAGGGAAAGAUGAAAAGGACUUUGAAAAGAGAGUUAAAAAGUGCUUGAAAUUGCUGGGAGGGAAGCGAAUGGAAGCUGCGGGUGCGCCCCGGUUGGAUGUGGAACGGCUUCGCGGCUGGUCCGCCGCUCAACGCGGGGCGCUGGUCAGCGUGGGCCGUCGCGCCGGGACAAGAGCGGGGAUUCGUUUCCCGCCUAUGCCGGUGGGGUGGCCGAGGAACGAAGCAUGCGCCGCCUGCGGCGUGGGCCUUUUGUCCCAACUGCAUGCUCGGGACGCUGGCGUAUUGGGCUGUUCAUCCGACCCGUCUUGAAACACGGACCAAGGAGUCUAACAUGUGUGCGAGCCGGUGGGCGGCAAACCCACUUGAGGCGCAAGGAAACUGACAGGUGGGACCCCGACCGCGAGGGAGGGAGCACCAUCGACCGACCGUGAUCUUCUGUGAAAGGUUUGAGUGUGAGCAUACCUGUUGGGACCCGAAAGAUGGUGAACUAUGCCUGAGCAGGGCGAAGCCAGAGGAAACUCUGGUGGAGGCUCGUAGCGAUACUGACGUGCAAAUCGUUCGUCAGACUUGGGUAUAGGGGCGAAAGACUAAUCGAACCAUCUAGUAGCUGGUUCCCUCCGAAGUUUCCCUCAGGAUAGCUGGAGCUCGUGUGCACGAGUUUUAUCAGGUAAAGCGAAUGAUUAGAGGCAUCGGGGGUGUAACACCCUCGACCUAUUCUCAAACUUUAAAUGGGUAAGCCGCCGGGGUUGCUUGGUUGAACCCCGGCACAGAAUGAGAGCUCCAAGUGGGCCAU